This is a long non-coding RNA of Arachis duranensis, 828 nucleotides long. RefSeq lists it as uncharacterized. The transcript is spliced from 3 exons. Lineage: Eukaryota; Viridiplantae; Streptophyta; Magnoliopsida; Fabales; Fabaceae. The record is from RefSeq and is a predicted model, not a curated record.
CCCUCUCUACCUAUUUUUCUUCCCUCUUCUCACCCCCUCUCACUGCUCCUCUCUCUCCGUGCUCUCCGUCCGGCGACCCACCGUCUGGCAAGCUAACCACAAUUCUUACCUUCCCUCUUCUCUUCUCGCCUCUCCUCUUCCCUUCGAACGCUUCUGCCCCCCCAGCUCUCGUCACUGCCACAGAGAGAAGCUGAAUCUCUCUGCCCUGCAUCGUUCCGCCGUUCGCGCCACUCUAUGCGCCACCGCGAGCUCAGCCAGCCACCACCAACUCUGGGCGGCACUACUUCUGCUCUUCUUCCCCUUUCCAUUUCCCAGUCUGUCUCUGCUACAUUCCAGCUCUGAGGGAUAUUUCUUUGCAUUUUGAUCAUUCCCUCUUGAUGUGGGAGUUCUAGUGCAAGUGGGGUUUUCCCUUUUUUCUGGGAUUUUGAAGUGGAAGUGGGAGUUCGAGUGAUUUGGAUUAUACCCGAGAGAAGGGGCUGGUUGAUGCAGCUUUUGUUUAAAUAAUUAAAAGUUCAUUUAUGCUCAGUUUUGAAUAUGCUGCCUGAUCAGGGAAAAAAGGCAGUCAAUGACAAGCAAAAUGAAGCCAUCACAGCUGCAUCUAAUGAGUUGGCCAAAAGAAAAAGCGAUCUUGAAGAAAAUUUAAAACUUUCACAUGAUUUAAAAGUAAGUAUAGUUUCAUAAUGAUCUUAGGCUUUCUAUUUCUUGUAUUUGUAAUUUUCUUGUUCUGAUACUUACUGGAAACUAUUUAACUGGGUUGAUGGAUUCUCACGCUCAUACAUAGCUGCUGCCUCUUCAGAAGUUGUUAAUACAAAAUACUGACUUCAUGUG